UUGUGGUUUUAUAUUUUAUGUAUGCAUGAUUCAAAUUAAAAGUAUUUUAAUCUUAUAUUCUACUCAGUAUUUAAAAAAUAAAAUUUUGAAAUACACAUACAUAUCCCAAACCUCAAAUUUCGAUACUGCUGUCAAGAGCUGCUCCUGAAACAUAUGGGUAUAAGUAUCCUUCAGAUCUGAGAUCAUCAUAAUGACUUGCAAGCAACUCACUGUACUUUGGUGCUCCACUAUCUGAAUUUUUAAUGCAGUGAUGAAAAGCUACUGGAUACAGUC
RNAcentral lists this long non-coding RNA (273 nucleotides) under Elaeis guineensis (African oil palm). RNAcentral describes it as "long non-coding RNA (EGUI_LNC043697)". Lineage: Eukaryota; Viridiplantae; Streptophyta; Magnoliopsida; Arecales; Arecaceae. The record is from RNAcentral.